This 478-nucleotide ribosomal RNA is filed under the name uncultured bacterium. Its description in RNAcentral is "partial 16S ribosomal RNA". It matches the Rfam family "Bacterial small subunit ribosomal RNA", at positions 28 to 523 of the family's 1533-position model. The record is from RNAcentral.
GACGAACGCUGGCGGCGUGCUUAACACAUGCAAGUCGAACGGUAAGGCCCUUCGGGGUACACGAGUGGCGAACGGGUGAGUAACACGUGGGUGAUCUGCCCUGCACUUCGGGAUAAGCCUGGGAAACUGGGUCUAAUACCGGAUAGGACUCCUGCCUGCAUGGGUGGGGGUGGAAAGCUUUUGCGGUGUGGGAUGGGCCCGCGGCCUAUCAGCUUGUUGGUGGGGUGAUGGCCUACCAAGGCGACGACGGGUAGCCGGCCUGAGAGGGUGACCGGCCACACUGGGACUGAGAUACGGCCCAGACUCCUACGGGAGGCUGCAGUGGGGAAUAUUGCACAAUGGGCGCAAGCCUGAUGCAGCGACGCCGCGUGAGGGAUGACGGCCUUCGGGUUGUAAACCUCCUUCAGCACAGACGAAGCGCGAGUGACGGUAUGUGCAGAAGAAGGACCGGCCAACUACGUGCCAGCCGCCGCAGUAA